AACGAACGCUGGCGGCAGGCUUAACACAUGCAAGUCGAGCGAGGUUUUCGGACCUAGCGGCGGACGGGUGAGUAACGCGUGGGAACGUGCCCUUUGCUACGGAAUAGCCCCUGGAAACGGAGAGUAAUACCGUAUGUGUCCGGUAACGGAGAAAGAUUUAUCGGCAAAGGAUCGGCCUGCGUUGGAUUAGGUAGUUGGUGGGGUAACGGCCUACCAAGUCGACGAUCCAUAGCUGGUUUUAGAGGAUGAUCAGCCACACUGGGACUGAGACACGGCCCAGACUCCGACGGGAGGCAGCAGUGGGGAAUCUUAGAAAAUGGGGGCAACCCUGAUCUAGCCAUGCCGCGUGAGUGAUGAAGGCCUUAGGGUUGUAAAGCUCUUUCAGCUGGGAAGAUAAUGACGGUACCAGCAGAAGAAGCCCCGGCUAACUCCGUGCCAGCCGCCGCAGUAA
This 451-nucleotide ribosomal RNA is filed under the name uncultured bacterium. RNAcentral describes it as "partial 16S ribosomal RNA". It matches the Rfam family "Bacterial small subunit ribosomal RNA", at positions 29 to 523 of the family's 1533-position model. The record is from RNAcentral.